This is a long non-coding RNA of Fundulus heteroclitus (mummichog), 274 nucleotides long. RefSeq lists it as uncharacterized. The transcript has 3 exons. The record is from RefSeq and is a predicted model, not a curated record. Lineage: Eukaryota; Metazoa; Chordata; Actinopteri; Cyprinodontiformes; Fundulidae.
GAGUUGAUAAAACUCCGUGGGCAAAAUAACCACCUCUUUACCGGGGCCAAAAACACUGCCGCAGUCGGAUGGAGAACAAUCCUGCAAAAAACGGGCCUGGAGGGUGAAGUUGAGCCACAACAGGCCAAAAAAAAGUGGGACAACUUGAAAAAAAAAAAAUACAAAGGAUGUUCAGGAAUGCAAAGAUCCAGGGACAGGGCAGGGGGUCAGUGGGAAGCCUACUGCUGCCACCUGGCCAUGGUUUGUCCUCAUGUUCUGUGUUGCUGUUAUUGUU